CCCAUAUAUUCUCGUUGUCUGGGUUUUUCUUCACUCAAGCUUUCAUAACAGGUGCCUUGCAGAAUUACGCCAGGAAGUACUCCGUUACCAUUGACCUGCUUGGCUUUAUUUAUGAGGUUCUGCCAUUUGACACCUCCGACUUAUCUCCUGAAGAUGGACUCUGCAUUCAUGGCCUUUUCUGGAUGGAGCUCGGUGGGAUAGAACAAUGCAAGAGUACCUUCCACGGCAGGAAGACACUGGAAAUAAUAUAAUAAUUUCUAAGCUAUAAUUUUUUUUCAUUAAAUAUGUUCUUCCUUGCAGUGGAGUGUUGGCUGAACAGUAUCCCAAAGUUUUAUUUGAUGCAGUCCCUAUCAUCAAACCAACGGACAAGAGGAGCAUGGAACAGCCCCACAGCAUCUAUGCGUGUCCCCUCUACAAGACUAGUGAGCGUAAAGGUAGACUGUCCACCACUGGCCAUUCAACCAACUUUGUCAUCAGCAUGAUGCUCCCUACCAGCAAGCGUCCUCAGCACUGGAUCAAGAGAGGUGUGGCUUUACUCUGUCAGCUAGGCACCUAAGCCCUUUGACUUCUGAACCAGCACUUUAUUUACGGAGCUCCAGACAGGUGAAAAAUAUUUUUCA
Sinocyclocheilus grahami is the source of this 620-nucleotide long non-coding RNA. RefSeq lists it as uncharacterized. The record is from RefSeq and is a predicted model, not a curated record. NCBI's taxonomy places the organism in Eukaryota, Metazoa, Chordata, Actinopteri, Cypriniformes, Cyprinidae. The transcript has 4 exons.